Molecule: ribosomal RNA, 837 nt
Filed under: Nocardia sp. IM-5233
Lineage: Bacteria; Bacillati; Actinomycetota; Actinomycetes; Mycobacteriales; Nocardiaceae
Description: bacterial SSU rRNA
Rfam family: Bacterial small subunit ribosomal RNA
Source: RNAcentral
GGCGGCGUGCUUAACACAUGCAAGUCGAGCGGUAAGGCCCUUCGGGGUACACGAGCGGCGAACGGGUGAGUAACACGUGGGUGAUCUGCCUCGCACUUCGGGAUAAGCCUGGGAAACUGGGUCUAAUACCGGAUAUGACCAGGGGACUGCAUGGUUUCUGGUGGAAAGAUUUAUCGGUGCGAGAUGGGCCCGCGGCCUAUCAGCUUGUUGGUGGGGUAAUGGCCUACCAAGGCGACGACGGGUAGCCGGCCUGAGAGGGCGACCGGCCACACUGGGACUGAGACACGGCCCAGACUCCUACGGGAGGCAGCAGUGGGGAAUAUUGCACAAUGGGCGAAAGCCUGAUGCAGCGACGCCGCGUGAGGGAUGACGGCCUUCGGGUUGUAAACCUCUUUCGACAGGGACGAAGCGCAAGUGACGGUACCUGUAGAAGAAGCACCGGCCAACUACGUGCCAGCAGCCGCGGUAAUACGUAGGGUGCGAGCGUUGUCCGGAAUUACUGGGCGUAAAGAGCUUGUAGGCGGUUUGUCGCGUCGUCUGUGAAAACUCACAGCUCAACUGUGAGCUUGCAGGCGAUACGGGCAGACUUGAGUACUGCAGGGGAGACUGGAAUUCCUGGUGUAGCGGUGAAAUGCGCAGAUAUCAGGAGGAACACCGGUGGCGAAGGCGGGUCUCUGGGCAGUAACUGACGCUGAGAAGCGAAAGCGUGGGUAGCGAACAGGAUUAGAUACCCUGGUAGUCCACGCCGUAAACGGUGGGCGCUAGGUGUGGGUUUCCUUCCACGGGAUCCGUGCCGUAGCUAACGCAUUAAGCGCCCCGCCUGGGGAGUACGGCCGC